Molecule: long non-coding RNA, 1410 nt
Filed under: Numida meleagris (helmeted guineafowl)
Lineage: Eukaryota; Metazoa; Chordata; Aves; Galliformes; Numididae
Description: lncRNA (ENSNMEG00000010441.1)
Source: RNAcentral
UUACAGUGUAAAUAUAAUUACUGUGACAUAGAUUUGCUUUGGUUCACUGAGCUGGCAAUGAGCAAGCUUUACAGCAUUGUAUCUUUUUGUUCUUGCUUAAAUUGCCUUUCUAGUAGGUGGUUGGAGCUAGAACCCAGACCACAGCUGCAGUCCCAAUGUGCUGUUGUAACAGUAUUAGCAUAUAAAGUAGAUAUCAUUGCAGAGUGCAGGGCUGAUUCCUACCGGCCCUAUGCGCUGUGAGUGUAGCGGGAAAGGUCCAUUUCAGUGUGCUUGGCACAGCAGGAACCUGCUGACUUGGCAGUACCUGCAGGAGACUCCGUGCUUUUCAGUGGUGGCUGCUCUACACUCCUGGAUUUUGCCGCCUUGCCAGCAGCACUGGGACCAGAACAAGCAGAGAAGUGUUUUCCAUGGAAAUCUUCUUUCCUAGAUUGAAUGACCCUUAUGCACUGUGUCUUUCCUGGUUGCACAGACAGGUCUGUACCAACAAGUGUUUCUCCUGAAGGAACCUAGAGCAUCUGGACAGGUCUGAGUGGGUCUGGUGUGGAAACGCAGUCCUGGGGAGCUCAGAUACAUGACAGUGCUUAUACAAGUAGUUAACCUAAGAAUAUUGACUACGCCUAUGCAUGUGUUUGCCCUAAUAGCACUGGUCUGAAUCCGAUAUACUUAUUGCCUCCAGAGGAGGCUGGCGGCCAUUUUGUCAGCCCAGAGCUGCUGCUGCAGCUAUGCAGCAGCUUCUUCACUGCUGGUUUCUCUCCAUGUAAACCUUCCUCCCUUACCACAUGUGCCCCCAGGCCCCUGUUUGCCACUCUUUGUCUUUUAGGGGGAAAAAGCCAAGUGUGGGAGGCUGGAUGUUGUUCCCUCUGCUGCCUGAGGGACCCUCUUGUGGCUUCCGGAAGGUUCCACAGAGCUUCCUGUCAGUGCCGUGGGACAGCCAGCGCCUCGCUUAUGACCUGUGGACGAGGGUGCUUCUGUGGCUGUCCAAAAAAAAAGGGAUAAAAAAAUGCUGGAAACAGCACAGCUGGAGAGCACGUAAUACUGCUGAAGAGAUGCAAAGAGAAGAUGCAGUUCUAUUAAGAGAUUUCAUGAGUACGCACAGCUAUGCAGGACAAAAGGACAACUUCUUCAUGAAAAGAAAUACUGUUGCUGGCUCAGACUUGGUGAGAGAAAGAGAUACGGAUACAUUGUAUAUCAGUGGAAGAAGACAUGAGAUGAAACAGCUGUCACUGACUCUAAAAGAAACAAAAAAUCUCUUAUCUUUUCUGCCGCUUUUACAAACUGAGGAUUGACCUGAUUCUAUCAAACACCAUCUUCCAGCAUUGUGGUUGGUCAAAAUGAAGCUGUUCAUCCCUUUCUAUGUUUGCCAUAAUUAAAUACUUUAAUUUUGAAAUAAAUGAGUCAAUUGUUUAAGCA